Molecule: unclassified non-coding RNA, 382 nt
Filed under: soil metagenome
Description: partial contains 5.8S ribosomal RNA, internal transcribed spacer 2, and large subunit ribosomal RNA
Rfam family: 5.8S ribosomal RNA (bases 1-120)
Source: RNAcentral
GAUGAAGAACGCAGCGAAAUGCGAUAAGUAAUGUGAAUUGCAGAAUUCAGUGAAUCAUCGAAUCUUUGAACGCACCUUGCACCCUUUGGCAUUCCGAAGGGUAUGCUCGUUUGAGUGUCAUUGUGCUCUCACACUUCUGAUCCUUUGGAUUGGGAGCGGUGGACUUGGGUGUUGCUGCUUUACUGUGGCUCACCUCAAAUGCAUUCGUGCAACUCUUGGUUGGACAUAGUACGGCGUGAUAAGUAUCUUCGCCGGCACCUCGCAAGAGGGUGGCUGAUCAGGAGCUCUGUGCUUUCCAACUGUCUUCAGACAACAACUGACAACUUGACCUCAAAUCGAGUAGGACCACCCGCUGAACUUAAGCAUAUCAAUAAGCGGAGGA